GCAUUGACUGCACCAAGUUCUCGCGAUUUUAAGCUUAUCCGCACAGGCUAUGCAAACGUCCGGGCAGCACUGCGCUGUGUACGGUUGUUCGAACAACCAAAAGAAGCGCAAUGCAGCAAGAAAAGUACAGUGCAGCACGCACAAUGUUCUGCAAGAGGACUGCGGCUGCAACAUGUACCUGUUGCAUCGGUUUCCUGCCGACGCGGUACUGAAGCAUCGCUGGAUUAGCGCUGUAAAUCGUAAGGGAUUCGUCCCUACGGAGUCGUCGCGCGUCUGCUCGGUUCAUUUUGUCGACGGGAAGCGGACAUCUGAGAAUCCAGAGCCAAUGCUUCAGCUCGGAUACGCGAGGAAGGUCUUGAAGGGGCGGCGGCGCAUCACGAAACAAGACGUCCAAGUGCCGAAGAAGAGAGCAAAAGAAAACCUUGUGCCACAGGCGGCCCCGUCUCCCAGUCCUCCUCUGACGAAUGUAUGCACGACUGUCAGACUGAUUUUUCGAAACGCGCCGAAGCGCGUUUGAUAUCUGUUUAUGUUCAUCUUCAAGUACUACACAUAUCGAAAUGCAU
Molecule: long non-coding RNA, 563 nt
Organism: Dermacentor albipictus
Lineage: Eukaryota; Metazoa; Arthropoda; Arachnida; Ixodida; Ixodidae
Source: RefSeq, a predicted model, not a curated record